Bos taurus (domestic cattle) is the source of this 1614-nucleotide long non-coding RNA. Lineage: Eukaryota; Metazoa; Chordata; Mammalia; Artiodactyla; Bovidae. The record is from Ensembl.
AGGUCUCGCGGGAGGGCGCGGGUCUCGCGGGAGGACGCAGAAUCCCGCCCGCGCCCGCGCGCCUCGGGGGCGGCGGGGGUGGCGGCGGCCCGUCCCUUCUGCAGCCCUGCGCGAGGCCUCGGCGCUCCCCUCCUGCCCCGGAGUCCCGUGAUCCUGGAAGUCCUGCGGGGCCAUCCUGUGCUUGAAGAUAAACACAGCCCCCCACCCUCGGGGUGAGAAUCCCAGAGUUCUGAUUUUCUCGGACGAUGACUUAGAUGAGGGUGUCGCGGCUUCUCCUCUUCCCUCUUCUCUCCUUCCUCCAGUGUCAGAUUCUUUCAGGACGUUUAUUUCCCUUGGUGUCCCCGUUCCGGACGUGGCUGAGCUCACCGCGGGCCCUACUCACCUGCUCUGUUCUAAGAGCUUCGUCUGCCAUUUGGCGCUGGCCCCAUCCUGGCUCUCAGCAAAGAGCUUCCAGCCCACCAGGUUCCUGUGUCCAUGGGAUUCUCCAGGGUUUAAAAUGAAGGCAUUUCCUCACCUGUAAAGUGACUAGAAGAUUGCCCAGGUCCCUUCCAACAACUGCAGACUGUGUCAUCGGCUGGAUUUGGGCCCGAGCUGGACUGUGUGCAGCCCUCUCUCAGGAACACCUCUGUCUUUCCUGCCUUGAGCUUAGUUUCUGUCUAGAAAGUUGUAAGAGUUGAGACAAUGAGAGGAGGCUGAGGAGCUGUUUGCUCCCCUGAAUCAGGGGUUCGGAUCCAGUUGAGGGAUGCGGGGGUGGGGAGGAGAAGGUUCAGUCGAUGCCUAGACCUGACACAUUAACCCCUGGAUGAAUUAUUUUCACUUCUGUGAAAAAGGCUUUGGCUAUGGCUUCACGGAGAAGCCCGCCGCAUCGUAAAACCACCGGUGUCACGAGCUGUCUUCUGGAGAGUGGAAACGGGCAGGAUGUGGUUUGAACUGACAGAAAGAUGAGGCAGUGCGUUCCUCCUUGGGGAGCUUGGAGCGACCAUCAGGGGCAAGAACCAGAGGCUGCGACUUUCUGACUUGGAGCCAACAGUCAAUUCAGGAUCAGGGAAACCAGUUGCUUAGUGCCAAGGUGUUCAAAAAACAACAAGGAAACAUACACACACAACCACUACAGAAAACAAAUCAGCUAACAAUAUUUCUCAUUUUCACGAGUAAAACUUUGCAUCUCUAACAGCACCUUCUCUGGUGGCUCAAAUGGUAAAGAAUCCACCUGCAAUACAGGAGACGCAGGUUUGAUCCCUGGGUCGGGACGAUCCCCUGGAGGAGGAAAUGACAACCCACUCCAGUACUCCUGCCUGGAGCAACCCAUGGACAGAGGAGCCUGGUGGGGCUACAGUCCAUGUGGUCGCAAAGAGUCAGAUAUGACUGAGCAACUAACUCUUACCUGCUUACUUACGCAGCAGCUUACACACUUUAAGACACUUUCAAAUACGUGUAACGCUUGACGUAACCUACGGAGAAACACACAGUCGUGUUGAUAUUCCUAUUUUCUGGAUAAAAACAUUGAACAGGGCCUAGUUAUGAAAACGGAAGUUUCAAAGCAGACCAGGAAUCCAGGACUCUUGAUCCUCGAUCCAAACCUGGUGUCUGGUGCUUCUGAAUUCAUGUAAACAG